UGGGGAAUUUUGGACAAUGGGCGCAAGCCUGAUCCAGCAAUGCCGCGUGCAGGAUGAAGGCCUUCGGGUUGUAAACUGCUUUUGUACGGAGCGAAAAGGUCUGCCCUAAUACGGUGGGCUCAUGGCGGUACCGUAAGAAUAAGCACCGGCUAACUACGUGCCAGCAGCCGCGGUAAUACGUAGGGUGCAAGCGUUAAUCGGAAUUACUGGGCGUAAAGCGUGCGCAGGCGGUUAUGCAAGACAGAGGUGAAAUCCCCGGGCUCAACCUGGGACCUGCAUUUGUGACCGUAUAGCUAGAGUACGGUAGAGGGGGAUGGAAUUCCGCGUGUAGCAGUGAAAUGCGUAGAUAUGCGGAGGAACACCGAUGGCGAAGGCAAUCCCCUGGACCUGUACUGACGCUCAUGCACGAAAGCGUGGGGAGCAAACA
RNAcentral lists this ribosomal RNA (427 nucleotides) under uncultured bacterium. Its description in RNAcentral is "bacterial SSU rRNA". It matches the Rfam family "Bacterial small subunit ribosomal RNA", at positions 355 to 774 of the family's 1533-position model. The record is from RNAcentral.